UAACUCCAAGUAUAUUGAAAGAUACAGGGAGUUGAAUUUUGAGGAUCAUGAUUUGAGUUGCUUCGAUUUGACCUCAAAGCAACUUAAUCUUGUUGCCUACAUUGGUAGGACUUCAGACAAUAAAAAACAAAUAAGAAUUAUGGAGAAUUGAGUGAGAAUCGAAGAGAUGAAAAAUUCAGAAAUUCACCUUCACUGCAGGUUG
RNAcentral lists this long non-coding RNA (202 nucleotides) under Lathyrus oleraceus (garden pea). Its description in RNAcentral is "Pisum sativum (pea) long non-coding RNA (PSAT_LNC018536)". The record is from RNAcentral. Lineage: Eukaryota; Viridiplantae; Streptophyta; Magnoliopsida; Fabales; Fabaceae.